This 538-nucleotide ribosomal RNA is filed under the name uncultured bacterium. RNAcentral describes it as "partial 16S ribosomal RNA". It matches the Rfam family "Bacterial small subunit ribosomal RNA", at positions 355 to 909 of the family's 1533-position model. The record is from RNAcentral.
UGGGGAAUAUUGCACAAUGGGCGAAAGCCUGAUGCAGCAACGCCGCGUGAGUGAUGAAGGCCUUCGGGUUGUAAAGCUCUGUCUUUUGGGACGAUAAUGACGGUACCAAAGGAGGAAGCCACGGCUAACUACGUGCCAGCAGCCGCGGUAAUACGUAGGUGGCAAGCGUUGUCCGGAUUUACUGGGCGUAAAGGAUGCGUAGGCGGAUUUUUAAGUGAGAUGUGAAAACCCUAAGCUUAACUUGGGGACUGCAUUUCAUACUGGAAAUCUAGAGUGCGGGAGAGGAGAAUGGAAUUCCUAGUGUAGCGGUGAAAUGCGUAGAGAUUAGGAAGAACACCAGUGGCGAAGGCGAUUCUCUGGACCGUAACUGACGCUGAGGCAUGAAAGCGUGGGUAGCAAACAGGAUUAGAUACCCUGGUAGUCCACGCCGUAAACGAUGAGUACUAGGUGUAGGAGGUAUCGACCCCUUCUGUGCCGCAGUUAACACAAUAAGUACUCCGCCUGGGAAGUACGAUCGCAAGAUUAAAACUCAAAGGAA